CUGGAAGAUACUGUAGGCUACAUGGCUACAGGUCUCAAACUUCCUCUCCCAGAAGUUGGUGCAGGUCAUCCUUAAACAGAGGAGCGACGACCCGUUUGACACGGUGAUGUCGGUAGUGCCAUCUACUAAGAAUGAGAAAACCCUGAAGAAGCUUUCGGAGGAGGGGUAUGACGAUGGAUCGAAGCCAUCGCAGGUUCUCAGCAUCAACGAGGGUGACGUCAUCGAAGUUGGUUUCCGUGGCAACAUUAAGAGCAAAAGGCGAGGAGGGGAUACAGUUUGUGUACAACUCCAAUCUGGAGAGCGAGACUGAAUUCCAUGCCGCUGAGGUGGACUUAUACCUACCAAGAAACUUCCCAGUAUAUAGGGGUGUCGUCGAGGUAGGUUUGUGUACUUCCCAGUACAUAGGGGUGUGUUCGAGGUAGGCUUGUGUACUUCCCAGUAUACAGGGGUGUUGUCGAGGUAGGCUUGUGUACUUCCCAGUAU
Mya arenaria is the source of this 483-nucleotide long non-coding RNA. RefSeq lists it as uncharacterized. The record is from RefSeq and is a predicted model, not a curated record. The transcript has 3 exons. NCBI's taxonomy places the organism in Eukaryota, Metazoa, Mollusca, Bivalvia, Myida, Myidae.